This 68-nucleotide transfer RNA is filed under the name Datura stramonium (jimsonweed). Its description in RNAcentral is "tRNA-Trp". It matches the Rfam family "tRNA". From Rfam's summary of the family: Transfer RNA (tRNA) molecules are approximately 80 nucleotides in length. Their secondary structure includes four short double-helical elements and three loops (D, anti-codon, and T loops). Further hydrogen bonds mediate the characteristic L-shaped molecular structure. tRNAs have two regions of fundamental functional importance: the anti-codon, which is responsible for specific mRNA codon recognition, and the 3' end, to which the tRNAs corresponding amino acid is attached (by aminoacyl-tRNA synthetases). tRNAs cope with the degeneracy of the genetic code in two manners: having more than one tRNA (with a specific anti-codon) for a particular amino acid; and 'wobble' base-pairing, i.e. permitting non-standard base-pairing at the 3rd anti-codon position. The record is from RNAcentral. Lineage: Eukaryota; Viridiplantae; Streptophyta; Magnoliopsida; Solanales; Solanaceae.
GGAUCCGUGGCAAUGGUAGCGUCUGACUCCAGAUCAGAAGGUUGCGUGUUCGAUUCACGUCGGGUUCA